RNAcentral lists this ribosomal RNA (420 nucleotides) under uncultured bacterium. RNAcentral describes it as "bacterial SSU rRNA". It matches the Rfam family "Bacterial small subunit ribosomal RNA", at positions 358 to 770 of the family's 1533-position model. The record is from RNAcentral.
GGAAUAUUGGACAAUGGGCGAAAGCCUGAUCCAGCCAUGCCGCGUGUGUGAAGAAGGUCUUCGGGUUGUAAAGCACUUUAAGUUGGGAGGAAGGGUUGUAAGUUAAUACCUUGCAAUUUUGACGUUACCAACAGAAUAAGCCCCGGCUAACCCUGUGCCAGCAGCAGCGGUAAUACAGAGGGUGCAAGCGUUAAUCGGAAUGACUGGGCGUAAAGCGCGCGUAGGUGGUUUGUUAAGUUGGAUGUGAAAGCCCCGGGCUCAACCUGGGAACUGCAUCCAAAACUGGCAAGCUAGAGUACGGUAGAGGGUGGUGGAAUUUCCUGUGUAGCGGUGAAAUGCGUAGAUAUAGGAAGGAACACCAGUGGCGAAGGCGACCACCUGGACUGAUACUGACACUGAGGUGCGAAAGCGUGGGGAGCA